RNAcentral lists this signal recognition particle RNA (97 nucleotides) under Sulfuriflexus sp. RNAcentral's name for it is "signal recognition particle sRNA small type". It matches the Rfam family "Bacterial small signal recognition particle RNA". From Rfam's summary of the family: The signal recognition particle (SRP) is a universally conserved ribonucleoprotein involved in the co-translational targeting of proteins to membranes. Archaeal SRP consists of a 7S RNA and homologues of the eukaryotic SRP19 and SRP54 proteins. The record is from RNAcentral. Lineage: Bacteria; Pseudomonadati; Pseudomonadota; Gammaproteobacteria; Chromatiales; Granulosicoccaceae.
CAUCGGUCCCCUCGCAACACUACGCUGUGAACCCGGCCAGGCCCGGAAGGGAGCAACCGCAGCAGCAGACGUGUGUGCCGGGGUGUGGCUGGUGCGG